RNAcentral lists this ribosomal RNA (507 nucleotides) under Chryseobacterium sp. RNAcentral's name for it is "bacterial SSU rRNA". It matches the Rfam family "Bacterial small subunit ribosomal RNA", at positions 205 to 712 of the family's 1533-position model. The record is from RNAcentral. Lineage: Bacteria; Pseudomonadati; Bacteroidota; Flavobacteriia; Flavobacteriales; Weeksellaceae.
AACUCCGGUGGAUAGAGAUGGGCACGCGCAAGAUUAGAUAGUUGGUGAGGUAACGGCUCACCAAGUCUGCGAUCUUUAGGGGGCCUGAGAGGGUGAUCCCCCACACUGGUACUGAGACACGGACCAGACUCCUACGGGAGGCAGCAGUGAGGAAUAUUGGACAAUGGGUGAGAGCCUGAUCCAGCCAUCCCGCGUGAAGGACGACGGCCCUAUGGGUUGUAAACUUCUUUUGUAUAGGGAUAAACCUACUCUCGUGAGAGUAGCUGAAGGUACUAUACGAAUAAGCACCGGCUAACUCCGUGCCAGCAGCCGCGGUAAUACGGAGGGUGCAAGCGUUAUCCGGAUUUAUUGGGUUUAAAGGGUCCGUAGGCGGAUCUGUAAGUCAGUGGUGAAAUCUCACAGCUUAACUGUGAAACUGCCAUUGAUACUGCAGGUCUUGAGUGUUAUUGAAGUAGCUGGAAUAAGUAGUGUAGCGGUGAAAUGCAUAGAUAUUACUUAGAACACCAA